GUUAGUAGCAAAUAUUCAAAUGAGAACUUUGAAGACCGACGUGGAGAAGGGUUCCAUGAGAACAGCAUUUGGUCAUGGGUUAUCCGAUCCUAAGGCAUAGGGAAAUUCCUUGUAAUACAAGAGCAAUUUGCUCGUUGCCGAAAGGGAAUGAGGUUAAUAUUCCUCAGACUGGACGUGGAUAUUGUAUGGUAACAUAAGUGAGCCCGGAGACAUCGGUAUGAACUCCUGGAAGAGUUAUCUUUUCUUUUUAACAAUCUAUCGCCCUGAAAUGGGAUUAUCCCGAGCUAGGGCUUUAUGGUUGGCAGAGCAUCGCACUCUAUGCAAUGUCAGGUGCGUUCAUAACGAUCCUUGAAAAUCCGGGUAAGAGAUUUAUUCUCACGCCAGGUCGUACCAAUAACCGCAUCAGGUCUCCAAGGUUAGCAG
RNAcentral lists this ribosomal RNA (423 nucleotides) under uncultured eukaryote. Its description in RNAcentral is "eukaryotic LSU rRNA". It matches the Rfam family "Eukaryotic large subunit ribosomal RNA", at positions 1458 to 1879 of the family's 3401-position model. The record is from RNAcentral.